GCCCAGGUAGCUCAGUUGGUAGAGCAGUGGAUUGAAAAUCCACGUGUCGAUGGUUCAACUCCGUCUCUGGGCACCC
This 76-nucleotide transfer RNA is filed under the name Myxococcales bacterium. Its description in RNAcentral is "tRNA-Phe". It matches the Rfam family "tRNA". From Rfam's summary of the family: Transfer RNA (tRNA) molecules are approximately 80 nucleotides in length. Their secondary structure includes four short double-helical elements and three loops (D, anti-codon, and T loops). Further hydrogen bonds mediate the characteristic L-shaped molecular structure. tRNAs have two regions of fundamental functional importance: the anti-codon, which is responsible for specific mRNA codon recognition, and the 3' end, to which the tRNAs corresponding amino acid is attached (by aminoacyl-tRNA synthetases). tRNAs cope with the degeneracy of the genetic code in two manners: having more than one tRNA (with a specific anti-codon) for a particular amino acid; and 'wobble' base-pairing, i.e. permitting non-standard base-pairing at the 3rd anti-codon position. Lineage: Bacteria; Pseudomonadati; Myxococcota; Myxococcia; Myxococcales. The record is from RNAcentral.